CUACGGGAUGCAGCAGUAAGGAAUAUUGGGCAAUGGACGCAAGUCUGACCCAGCCAUGCCGCGUGAAGGAUGAAGGUCCUCUGGAUUGUAAACUUCUUUUAUCUGGGGCGAAAAACACCUUUUCUAAGGUGCUUGACAGUACCAGAGGAAUAAGCACCGGCUAACUCCGUGCCAGCAGCCGCGGUAAUACGGAGGGUGCAAGCGUUAUCCGGAUUCACUGGGUUUAAAGGGUGCGUAGGCGGGCAGGUAAGUCAGUGGUGAAAUCCCCGAGCUUAACUCGGGAACUGCCGUUGAUACUAUCUGUCUUGAAUACCGUGGAGGUGAGCGGAAUAUGUCAUGUAGCGGUGAAAUGCUUAGAUAUGACAUAGAACACCAAUUGCGAAGGCAGCUCGCUACACGGUCAUUGACGCUGAGGCACGAAAGCGUGGGGAUCAAACAGGAUUAGAUACCCGCGUAGUC
RNAcentral lists this ribosomal RNA (459 nucleotides) under uncultured bacterium. RNAcentral's name for it is "partial 16S ribosomal RNA". It matches the Rfam family "Bacterial small subunit ribosomal RNA", at positions 339 to 795 of the family's 1533-position model. The record is from RNAcentral.